Molecule: long non-coding RNA, 426 nt
Filed under: Helianthus annuus (common sunflower)
Lineage: Eukaryota; Viridiplantae; Streptophyta; Magnoliopsida; Asterales; Asteraceae
Source: RNAcentral
ACAAUUACCAGCUGAUCAUUCCAUCUCUCUCUCAACACAUCUGCUAAUCUUAUGCCCUAACUGAAUCUAGAGUUAACAACACCCAUGCUACCAUAAAUCAUCCACGUCACUUUAAAAACCCCAAACCCCAGCUUUACACCAUGCCCCAAACUAACAGUCUUAAUUAUUUCUACUUCAAACAAACAUAUCUCCGGCCUGACGGCUAACCAUUGCCAUAAUCGGAGACCGUCUAGCUAGAAAUACGACUGUCCGGUUAAAAGAAACCCAUCUUCGGCCACCAUUGUUGUCGCCUCACCGGAAAAGGUGCAACGCCGACCGUCUGGUUAAAACCGUCGGAACAAAUCGAUUGAGGUAUGCAUUGUUUUUAGUGGCCUGAUUUGGUGGGUGUUGGUUGUGGUGCGCAUAGGUUUAAGAAAGUUUAGAGAG